Molecule: long non-coding RNA, 3257 nt
Organism: Brassica napus (rape)
Lineage: Eukaryota; Viridiplantae; Streptophyta; Magnoliopsida; Brassicales; Brassicaceae
Exons: 3
Source: RefSeq, a predicted model, not a curated record
UACUUUAAGAGGAUGAACAAAUUUGCUAUUUUCAUUCAAACAAGAUGAUCACAAAACAAACUCAUGCAUUUACGUGUUUCCUUUUGGAACAUCGAUUUUACUUUAUGUAUUUGGAACAUCGAUUUUACUUUAUGUUUUAAGUUCAAUUAUAUUUACUUUGGUGUAACUAUCAGUAUCAAUUCUAUUUUUGAUGCAUUGAUCCAUGAAAACCAUUUAUGCUAUUCUUUUUUUUUACUUAAGCAACUACAAAACAAAGUAAUGCAUUACAGUCACUAACUAUUAUCAAAUGGAUAAAAAAGCAAUUUAGAAAUCUUUAGAGAAUAAAACAUACGAGCCCGGCGCGUAGCGCCGGAAUACCACUAGUAUGUUUAUAAAAUAUACUUUGAAUCAUAAAAGUUUUGAUAUAUACUUAGAAAAUUAAUUCAUGAUUGAAUGACUCAGUGUUAUUUUUAAUGAGCAGUGAUAUUAAGCUACUCAAUGGUAAUUAUAACCUGAAAAUAAUGUGUUCAGCAAGAGCAGGUAAGUUUUAAUAUAUUUUGGAAGUCUUUAAGAAAAUAUAAUUGGGUAGAAAAAGAUAGUGUGUGUUUCUGCAUAAAUUUAUGGCAAUGGUGGACCGUAGACGUUAAAUGUAGAGCUAGAGAGAAACGUAAAUACGGGUGUGCAAUAGUUCUUGCCUUCCCCACCCAUCACAACAACAGACAAAAAAAAAGGAAUAGUUAUUCAUCACAAAGCUCUGGCGUUACACAAUGUGACAUUAAAAACUCGAAUCUCUUCAACGGAGAGAGAGAGGUCAUUAGGGUUCAUAACUCACUUGAGGUAGUAAAAAGCAGAAAGGCACAGAGAGAGGAAGAGAGGGCGUAUAGUAGUUGGAAAAAAAAGAGCAGUAAGAACAUUAAUGGUUGCAGGCAGCCAGUGUCCCAUCUUUUCUGCGAGAUUCCCUCAAAAUUUAUUACAUAGCAUCUUCAAUGUUCUUUUAACUUCUUCCUCAAAUCUUCAUACGUUACCACAAUUUUUUUUUUUAAAUAAUUGGUUGUGAAACUCAACGAGGAAAGACAGAGUAGGAGACAAAGUAGUAUUGGUUCACAUUGCAUAGCCAAUUUAGUUUGUAACGAUGGAUACAUAUGUAAUAUGAAACUUGAAAUAAAAAGAGAGAGAAGAGAGAAGAAAAUGGAGUAAAGAGGGUUAAGCCAGCCUUUUGUGCAUUGGUAGUAGAUGUGGUUUUAAUGCUCCAUACCUUCCAUUUCCUUCUCUCUUUAACCCUAAUUUAAUACCUCUCCUUUAUAACUCUCCCCCACAGACAUUCUCACCUUCUCCUCAUCACACUUCCCCUCACAACGUCUAUCUUCUUUUAUUUUCUCAUAUGUCUUCCUUUGAAUCUGCACCACUAGAGAGUCCUCUUUGAUAUUGGCCUGGUUCACUCAGAUCUUCUCGAACCACACCGCGGACAACUCUCUUAGUUAUCUGAUUGAGCCGCGUCAAUAUCUCAGUGCUCUCUCGUCUCUCUUUGUUUCUUGUAGAUCUACCUAUAGCAAUAUAUUGACGUUUUGCUUAUGUAUGUGUUGAAAAUGGAGAUUCAUAUAUCCUUUCUUUAUGGUAUUACUUGCUUAUAAUUUCCAGAUUCUCAGAAAAACAAGUCAAUUUACUAGUCAAAAUGGUAUGUCUCAAUGGAGGUCUAAGCCUUUCUUGCUAUCCAAGGUACCCCAUCAGCUUCUUUCCCAAGUAUAAUAAAUAUCUUCUACUGCUUUGCUUCAUAAUAAUCUACUAGGAUUAGACCCGCGCCUUGCGCGGGGUGAGAUUUUUUAAAAUUUUUUAAAAAUUAGGUUAUAAGAUGAAUAUUACUGAUAUGUGGUGGGGUUUUUAUUAAGAGAUAUAGGAUUUUUGUUUUUUCGUUAUAUAAGUAUUUAUAGAUAUUGGAAGAUUAAAUUGUAUUUACAGUCAAUGAUCUUUCUAUAAAUAUUUUUGUUUAUUACCGAGUAUGUGAUAUAUUUUUAGUAAGACAAAUAAAAUAGCAUACCAUUUUUUUGGUAACUAAUCUUAUUAAAAGAUUUAUAUUUGAUUAUUGUAAAGACUUUAACACAACUUAAUAGAACUUGGAAUUAAAAAAAAUAUUUCUCACAACAUUUAUGUAAAUUAUAUUGUCGUAACAUAUAUAACAUAAUAGAUGAGUUGAAUAAUUAUAAUGGGCCAUAAUAAUAAACAAAUAAAUUGAAAGGCCCGAUUAUAUUUGUUCCUUAAUUAUGAUUGUCCAAUAUUUGAGGGGAAAAGCAAGUCAUUGUCUUAACACAAAUUGCAGAUAUAUUGUUUCCCAAAUUUUUUUAAUUUUUCCCAUAUUUGCCGUUCCCGAAUCGACUGUUUCGUUUAUCACCGUCACAGACGAUUCCAAAGCGAUCUUCUGAUUUAUCUCUCUGUGCAAUACGUAUUCCCGUUCCAAACCUAAUCAAUAACAGCAAUCGAAGGUUACUGGUCUUCCACAGAGUAAACAAUCGAUUCAGAAAAUGAGAAGCUAUAAGAGAAAGAUUGAAGAGGUGGGAACUAAGGGUGUUUUUUCAGACAAUAGGACGUCUACUAAUAAGAUGUCACAAUCACAAAGAGAGGUAGAAGAAACAAGGGCAAAUUUAGGAGUGGAUAUCAUGGGAUUUUAAUGGGAGAGAAUCUGACGAGCACGAACCCUAACCUGCAAGCGAGCAAGAGCAUGCAUACAAUGUAAUGCUAUUCGAGCUUGUCUCCUCACAAGCACUCCUCUCGCCACCGCCUGAAGCUUCACAAGACUCCUCAACGCUCUAAACGCUCUCCUUGCCUACAGCACUUGCAAUGGUAAUUAACUUUUCAAGAACAAUGUUUUGUAAUCACCAGAGAAAAUGUAUAUGUUUUUUACCAGGUGACCUCUGAAAUAAGCUUGGAUUUUAAUGGCGGCAAUGUGUUCUUUAGUAGUUUCUGGGAUAGACGAGCGAAUGGUGGUGAUACUGCUGGGAGAUCGACUGAGAAGUUUCCUCCUUACGACUCCAAACAAUCUUUUGGAGUUGGCCAUAUUGUGAAACCCUUGUCUCUCUGCUUUGGCUAGGAGGUUUUAAAACGGAAACGUGGAGAAGAAAACGUAAAAUGUAAACAAAAGUGAAGGCGGUGGCUUUAAGGGAUGGAGAUGAUGUGCUCUCCAUUUUUGUUUGUUGAUAUGUUAACGAACGAACGUGCUCCCAUGCUCUUCUCUACUUUGUACUUGAUUUUGUUUAUUACUUUUGAAGACAGAAAAGUCUUUGGUC